GGGUAAGUCUGGGACGGGAGCAGUGGUGAGACGGAAGGGGGUAGCGUGGUUCGGAAUUACUGGGGGUCAAGCGCGCGUAGGCGGGCAUGAAAGGGAGGCGUGGAAGGCCUGGGCUCAACCUGGGAACUGCGCUUCAGACUGCACGGCGUGGGUCCGGGAGAGGGUGGUGGAAUUCCCAGUGUAGAGGUGAAAUUCGUAGAUAUUGGGAGGAACACCAGUGGCGAAGGCGGCCACCUGGCCCGGUACUGACGCUCAAGUGCGAAAGCGUGGGGAGCAAACAGGAUUAGAUACCCUAGAGUC
Molecule: ribosomal RNA, 300 nt
Filed under: uncultured Bacillus sp.
Lineage: Bacteria; Bacillati; Bacillota; Bacilli; Caryophanales; Bacillaceae
Description: bacterial SSU rRNA
Rfam family: Bacterial small subunit ribosomal RNA
Source: RNAcentral